Molecule: small nucleolar RNA, 107 nt
Organism: Gossypium arboreum
Lineage: Eukaryota; Viridiplantae; Streptophyta; Magnoliopsida; Malvales; Malvaceae
Rfam family: Plant small nucleolar RNA R71
About the family: R71 is a member of the C/D box family of snoRNAs containing the C (UGAUGA) and D (CUGA) box motifs.
Source: Rfam
AUUCCGUGAUGGGGGCAUUUCCGUAGUAGUUCUUUGUACCUUUCCCAUGCCUCAUACAAGGACUCGUCAUCCAUUUGUGGGAAAACAAUGAUCUCGUUCCUCAAUUU